GGACGGAUAGCUCAAGUGGUUAGAGCCCCGGUAAGGGAGAUGCGGGUUCGAAUCCCGUUCCGUCUA
RNAcentral lists this transfer RNA (66 nucleotides) under Streptomyces agglomeratus. It matches the Rfam family "tRNA". Rfam says of the family: Transfer RNA (tRNA) molecules are approximately 80 nucleotides in length. Their secondary structure includes four short double-helical elements and three loops (D, anti-codon, and T loops). Further hydrogen bonds mediate the characteristic L-shaped molecular structure. tRNAs have two regions of fundamental functional importance: the anti-codon, which is responsible for specific mRNA codon recognition, and the 3' end, to which the tRNAs corresponding amino acid is attached (by aminoacyl-tRNA synthetases). tRNAs cope with the degeneracy of the genetic code in two manners: having more than one tRNA (with a specific anti-codon) for a particular amino acid; and 'wobble' base-pairing, i.e. permitting non-standard base-pairing at the 3rd anti-codon position. The record is from Rfam by way of RNAcentral. Lineage: Bacteria; Bacillati; Actinomycetota; Actinomycetes; Kitasatosporales; Streptomycetaceae.